RNAcentral lists this ribosomal RNA (254 nucleotides) under uncultured bacterium. RNAcentral's name for it is "partial 16S ribosomal RNA". It matches the Rfam family "Bacterial small subunit ribosomal RNA", at positions 57 to 305 of the family's 1533-position model. The record is from RNAcentral.
GCAAGUCGAGGGGUAACAGAGAAAAGCUUGCUUUUUUGCUGACGACCGGCACACGGGUGCGUAACGCGUAUAGAACCUACCUUUUACUGAGGGAUAGCCUUUAAAAAUGAAGAUUAAUACCUCAUGCAUCAAAUUUUCUCUUGAUUAUUUGAUUAAAGAUUUAUUGGUAAAAGAUGGCUAUGCGUCCUAUUAGCUAGAUGGUAAGGUAACGGCUUACCAUGGCAACGAUAGGUAGGCGUCCUGAGAGGGAGAUC